Long non-coding RNA from Micropterus dolomieu (smallmouth bass), 1023 nucleotides. RefSeq lists it as uncharacterized. Lineage: Eukaryota; Metazoa; Chordata; Actinopteri; Centrarchiformes; Centrarchidae. The record is from RefSeq and is a predicted model, not a curated record. The transcript is spliced from 5 exons.
ACUGUAUCCAAGGCAACAGGGCAUCUCACUUGCGUGCUUCCCGCCGUUGAAGUUACUUGGUUAACGUUACGUUAGUUACUUGGUACUUUUACAAUAGGAUUUAACACGAUAGAUUUAGAAUAACGUUACUUAUCAACUUACAUAAUAAAAUAAAUUAUAAAUAAAAAUAUAAUUAUAUCAUAACUUUGCUAUAAAUAUCACUAACAAAUAUGUUUGCUUAUGUAAGAUAUAUAGAAGACGGGUGUAAAGAAAUCGUCCCUUUUUCUUACAUUAAGGAUUUUGACAGCAUCUGUGAUAAUAGCAAUAAGAUCUACUGGGUGCGCUGGCAGGAGGACUAUUUUAAAGGCCAAGUAUUGUUCCUGAAGGUCGAGAGAAGAAGUGGAAGAGGAGCUGUCCAAGGGGAAACGCGUCCGUGUGAGACGGCUGAAGGAAACCACACCCCCACCGGCAAGAAAAAGGAAGCCAAAAACAUAAAUACAAAUCAGAAAAAAGCAGCGGAAGAGGCAAAAAAAACAACCUCAUGGCCUUACUUAAGGAAUGAAAAAUGAAAAAAAGACUGUCUCCGCUCUGCCCACCUCCAAGCAAGAAAAUGAGAGAGCAUAUCUUAUCAGAUAUCUUCUCCGAAGCAGACGACAACGAUGAUGAUGAUGAUGGUGGGGUUGUUCCUCAAUGCAAAACAAAAACAACGCCUAUACCUCAAGAAAUUUAAUGAUUUGUCCCUUCAACUGCAGGAAACCAAAAAGUUGUUGGACCAGGAGAAGAUCACAGCAGCAGUCGAGGCUGAGAAUAGCACACUACGAGCGCUAAACAUACAACUGCAGCAACAUUUGCUGAAAUCACUGAACUCUGUGCAAUGCAAUGAUGUGCGGCUGAGUGAGGAGGACCGGGCUGCCUGUGACGCGCCCUUCACGCUCCAGGAGGUGGAGGCCGCCAUCGGAGGCUUGGGCCUAAACAAAAGCCCGGGGCUGGACGGCUUGUCGGGGGAACUGUAUCGGUCCUGCAAGGGGCGACUGGCUCCUGUGC